GCGGCAAUAGCUUAGUGGUAGAGCCUCCGCCUCGUGUGCGGGGAGACCCGGGUUCGAUUCCGGGCUGCUUCC
Toxocara canis (dog roundworm) is the source of this 72-nucleotide transfer RNA. It matches the Rfam family "tRNA". Rfam says of the family: Transfer RNA (tRNA) molecules are approximately 80 nucleotides in length. Their secondary structure includes four short double-helical elements and three loops (D, anti-codon, and T loops). Further hydrogen bonds mediate the characteristic L-shaped molecular structure. tRNAs have two regions of fundamental functional importance: the anti-codon, which is responsible for specific mRNA codon recognition, and the 3' end, to which the tRNAs corresponding amino acid is attached (by aminoacyl-tRNA synthetases). tRNAs cope with the degeneracy of the genetic code in two manners: having more than one tRNA (with a specific anti-codon) for a particular amino acid; and 'wobble' base-pairing, i.e. permitting non-standard base-pairing at the 3rd anti-codon position. Lineage: Eukaryota; Metazoa; Nematoda; Chromadorea; Rhabditida; Toxocaridae. The record is from Rfam.